Molecule: ribosomal RNA, 500 nt
Filed under: uncultured bacterium
Lineage: Bacteria
Description: partial 16S ribosomal RNA
Rfam family: Bacterial small subunit ribosomal RNA
Source: RNAcentral
AUUGAACGCUGGUGGAAUGCUUUACACAUGCAAGUCGAACGGCAGCACGGACUUCGGUCUGGUGGCGAGUGGCGAACGGGUGAGUAAUGUAUCGGAACGUGCCCAGUCGUGGGGGAUAACGUAGUGAAAAUUACGCUAAUACCGCAUACGAUCUAUGGAUGAAAGCGGGGGAUCGCAAGACCUCGCGCGAUUGGAGCGGCCGAUAUCAGAUUAGGUAGUUGGUGGGGUAAAGGCCCACCAAGCCAACGAUCUGUAGCUGGUCUGAGAGGACGACCAGCCACACUGGAACUGAGACACGGUCCAGACUCCUACGGGAGGCAGCAGUGGGGAAUUUUGGACAAUGGGCGAAGGCCUGAUCCAGCCAUUCCGCGUGCAGGAUGAAGGCCCUCGGGUUGUAAACUGCUUUUGUACAGAACGAAAAGGUUUCUACUAAUACUAGGAGCUCAUGACGGUACUGUAAGAAUAAGCACCGGCUAACUACGUGCCAGCAGCAGCCGCGG